CUUUCUUUUUCUCUCUUCCAUUAAAUGCUAUGGAUUUUUAUUACUUGUUGCUCUAAAUAUAAAAUGGUUCUUAUCAAGUUAACAUGUACAUUGGUGAAGAAUGGAGAAUCUAAAAAUAACAAAAUUUAAGUAUAGCAAAAUAAAAUGACUAAAUAUCAAGUCUAUUGAUACAGGUACUCGACUCAGUUGUAAUUGAUCAUAAGUCUAACAGGGUCAAGAGGAGGUAACCCCUCAUACAUGAAGUUUCUUUAUUUUUUAUUUUAUGGCAAAAUUGCUUAACAAAUUUUAAUUUGGUGGACAAAAUUACAAUUUUUUAGAAGCAUCCCCCCCGCCCUACCCUCUUUAAUUUUUAUUUUAUUUAAUGCAUAAAAUAACAAGCCCCCUAUUAAUAUACGGUAAAAUGGGAUAAAAUCAACUGGGUUAUCAGAAUUUGUGAUUAUCUCCCCUUAUUAAAAAGAACUUAUGCCAGUGUACAGGAAAUAUUUCGCCAAAAGGAGGGCCUUCAAUACAAUUUGAAGCAGUAAGCUGAAAUCUAAAAGUAGGCGGCUUUUUGACAUGCGGACAUACUAACUUGCUGCCUUCACGUCAUGGGGUCUGGGGGUAAAUAGAGCAAAAUCUUGCAUUCUUGCAAUCUCCGUGCAUCUAUCUUUCAAAUUACAUUUUUUUAUGAUGAAAUUAAGGAAGUUCGCUUGUCAUGUUUUGGGAUAUUUGUCAGAUUUUAAGAAUCCUCUGGUUUUAUUCAUUUGAAUGUCUUGAAAACAUUUGCCCAUUGACCCCCAUUUUUCUAUUUAUAAAUCUUUUACAUGAAUAAUGAUAAGCCAUCUGUAAAAGUCUUAUUAAAUUUUAAUUAUUUUUUAAUAGUUUUUGAGAACUUAAACUUGUCAAUGAUAAAGCUAUGAUAAGUCAAGAGAGAAUAUUUUUUCCGCC
Molecule: long non-coding RNA, 927 nt
Filed under: Mytilus galloprovincialis (Mediterranean mussel)
Lineage: Eukaryota; Metazoa; Mollusca; Bivalvia; Mytilida; Mytilidae
Source: RNAcentral